CGGGGAGUCGGCAAACAGACUUUGAUCCGGAGAUGUCUGAAUGGGGGAACCCAGCCAUCAUAAGAUGGUUAUCUUGUACUGAAUACAUAGGUGCAAGAGGCGAACCAGGGGAACUGAAACAUCUAAGUACCCUGAGGAAAAGAAAUCAACCGAGAUUCCCUUAGUAGUGGCGAGCGAACGGGGACUAGCCCUUAAGUGGCUUUGAGAUUAGCGGAACGCUCUGGAAAGUGCGGCCAUAGUGGGUGAUAGCCCUGUACGCGAAAAUCUCUUAGUCAUGAAAUCGAGUAGGACGGAGCACGAGAAACUUUGUCUGAAUAUGGGGGGACCAUCCUCCAAGGCUAAAUACUACUGACUGACCGAUAGUGAACUAGUACCGUGAGGGAAAGGCGAAAAGAACCCCGGAGAGGGGAGUGAAAUAGAUCCUGAAACCGUAUGCGUACAAGCAGUGGGAGCAGACUUUGUUCUGUGACUGCGUACCUUUUGUAUAAUGGGUCAGCGACUUAUUUUCAGUGGCGAGCUUAACCGAAUAGGGGAGGCGUAGCGAAAGCGAGUCUUAAUAGGGCGUCUAGUCGCUGGGAAUAGACCCGAAACCGGGCGAUCUAUCCAUGGGCAGGUUGAAGGUUAGGUAACACUGACUGGAGGACCGAACCGACUACCGUUGAAAAGUUAGCGGAUGACCUGUGGAUCGGAGUGAAAGGCUAAUCAAGCUCGGAGAUAGCUGGUUCUCCUCGAAAGCUAUUUAGGUAGCGCCUCAUGUAUCACUGUAGGGGGUAGAGCACUGUUUCGGCUAGGGGGUCAUCCCGACUUACCAAACCGAUGCAAACUCCGAAUACCUACAAGUGCCGAGCAUGGGAGACACACGGCGGGUGCUAACGUCCGUCGUGAAAAGGGAAACAACCCAGACCGUCAGCUAAGGUCCCAAAGUUAUGGUUAAGUGGGAAACGAUGUGGGAAGGCUUAGACAGCUAGGAGGUUGGCUUAGAAGCAGCCACCCUUUAAAGAAAGCGUAAUAGCUCACUAGUCGAGUCGGCCUGCGCGGAAGAUGUAACGGGGCUCAAACCAUACACCGAAGCUACGGGUAUCACCUUCGGGUGAUGCGGUAGAGGAGCGUUCUGUAAGCCUGUGAAGGUGAGUUGAGAAGCUUGCUGGAGGUAUCAGAAGUGCGAAUGCUGACAUGAGUAACGACAAUGGGUGUGAAAAACACCCACGCCGAAAGACCAAGGUUUCCUGCGCAACGUUAAUCGACGCAGGGUUAGUCGGUCCCUAAGGCGAGGCUGAAAAGCGUAGUCGAUGGAAAACAGGUUAAUAUUCCUGUACUUCUGGUUAUUGCGAUGGAGGGACGGAGAAGGCUAGGCCAGCUUGGCGUUGGUUGUCCAAGUUUAAGGUGGUAGGCUGAGAUCUUAGGUAAAUCCGGGAUCUUAAGGCCGAGAGCUGAUGACGAGU
This 1442-nucleotide ribosomal RNA is filed under the name Pseudomonas sp. 2957. Its description in RNAcentral is "partial 23S ribosomal RNA". It matches the Rfam family "Bacterial large subunit ribosomal RNA", at positions 79 to 1574 of the family's 2925-position model. Lineage: Bacteria; Pseudomonadati; Pseudomonadota; Gammaproteobacteria; Pseudomonadales; Pseudomonadaceae. The record is from RNAcentral.